GACGAACGCUGGCGGCGUGCUUAACACAUGCAAGUCGAACGGAAAGGCCCCUUUGGGGGUACUCGAGUGGCGAACGGGUGAGUAACACGUGAGUAACCUGCCCUUGACUUCGGGAUAACUUCAGGAAACUGGGGCUAAUACCGGAUAGGAAUCCUUGCUGCAUGGUGGGGGUUGGAAAGCUUCGGCGGUUUUGGAUGGACUCGCGGCUUAUCAGCUUGUUGGUGGGGUAGUGGCUUACCAAGGCUUUGACGGGUAGCCGGCCUGAGAGGGCGACCGGCCACAUUGGGACUGAGAUACGGCCCAGACUCCUACGGGAGGCAGCAGUGGGGAAUAUUGCACAAUGGGCGGAAGCCUGAUGCAGCAACGCCGCGUGCGGGAUGACAGCCUUCGGGUUGUAAACCGCUUUCAGCAGGGGCGAAGCUUGUGGUGACGGUACCUGCAGAAGAAGCACCGGCUAACUACGUG
RNAcentral lists this ribosomal RNA (465 nucleotides) under uncultured bacterium. RNAcentral's name for it is "partial 16S ribosomal RNA". It matches the Rfam family "Bacterial small subunit ribosomal RNA", at positions 28 to 507 of the family's 1533-position model. The record is from RNAcentral.